CCUACGGAGAGCAGCAGUGGGGAAUAUUGGACAAUGGGCGAAAGCCUGAUCCAGCCAUGCCGCGUGUGUGAAGAAGGCCUUCGGGUUGUAAAGCACUUUCAGUGGGGAAGAAAGCCUUGGGGCUAAUACCCUCGAGGAAGGACAUCACCCACAGAAGAAGCACCGGCUAACUCCGUGCCAGCAGCCGCGGUAAUACGGAGGGUGCGAGCGUUAAUCGGAAUUACUGGGCGUAAAGCGCGCGUAGGCGGUCUGAUAAGCCGGUUGUGAAAGCCCCGGGCUCAACCUGGGAACGGCAUCCGGAACUGUCAGGCUAGAGUGCAGGAGAGGAAGGUAGAAUUCCCGGUGUAGCGGUGAAAUGCGUAGAGAUCGGGAGGAAUACCAGUGGCGAAGGCGGCCUUCUGGACUGACACUGACGCUGAGGUGCGAAAGCGUGGGUAGCAAACAGGAUUAGAUACCCUAGUAGUC
This 465-nucleotide ribosomal RNA is filed under the name Vreelandella stevensii. Its description in RNAcentral is "partial 16S ribosomal RNA". It matches the Rfam family "Bacterial small subunit ribosomal RNA", at positions 338 to 795 of the family's 1533-position model. The record is from RNAcentral. Lineage: Bacteria; Pseudomonadati; Pseudomonadota; Gammaproteobacteria; Oceanospirillales; Halomonadaceae.